Molecule: ribosomal RNA, 819 nt
Filed under: Triticum aestivum (bread wheat)
Lineage: Eukaryota; Viridiplantae; Streptophyta; Magnoliopsida; Poales; Poaceae
Description: partial small subunit ribosomal RNA
Source: RNAcentral
AUGCAGGCGCUCCUACUCCCAUCGCGGCUGCCGCCGCCGCUGCUCCGGCAGCGAGGGCUUCCCGCUGUUGCGUCUCUCGCCAGCCAUCCCCUCAACGGAGCUACCCUCCCUACCGGGCGCCUCUGCUUCGGGGGCGGCGAAGCCGCUCCGCGGCGUCUCACUGUGGCGGCGGCGGCGUCCUCGUCUUCGUCGGGCCCUCUCUACCCGACGCCUCCCCCCACCGAGCAGACAAUUGAGCGCGCCAAGCUCGAGCAGGUUAUCAAGAGGCUAGAGAAAACAGCUAGGUAUUUCAAGAAUUUGGGUACCCUAGGGUUCUGGUCCCAGUUGGUGUGCACGUUUGUUUCUGCUGGAAUUUUGUCAUUCUCCACAGUUGUUACUGGGAAGGUUACAUCACCCUUUACAUUCUACACAACUGCUGCUGGCGUUGCUGCAGCUUUUAUUUCAGUCUUCUGGUCAUUUGGCUACAUCCGUCUUUCUGAAAGACUUCGGAAAACAGCAAGUGCACCCGCAAAGGCUCCUCCACGGGCUGAUGUGAUUAAAAGUCUGAAAAAUGGCAUUGUGCUCAAUAUUCUUGGGAUGGGUUCAGCUGUUCUCGGUAUGCAGGCACUUGUUGGUGCUUUGGUAGCAAAAGCCCUUACUACCUCCGCAGUCCCCUAUUAUCAGGCAACUUCUGCUGGCCAAAGUCCUGUUUUGGCUCUAGAUGUAUUCCUGGUUCAGGCUUCAGCGAACACCAUACUGUCGCAUUUCCUAGGUGUGGCGACUUCCCUGGAGCUGCUCCGUUCCGUGUCAAUCGCCCCGACCGAGCCUGCUGCGACAUGA